ACCCAGCCGUCGGUCGACCGUUUGUCCAUCCUCUCCACAGUAGUCUACAUACGUACAUACGUACUCUCUCGGAAUAUACUCAUACUUACACGCCACACAUGGACUCGACGUGAUUGUGGUCCUUCACGCUAAACUCUGAAGCCUCCUCCUUCGUUCGUCAGCUCCCACUUUGCCGAAAGCGCGAUCUUGUAACAAGGGCCACCGUCUUGUUCUUAUCCGUCUUCUCUAUAUACACUAUCUAUUCUCUCGUUCCCAUGUGGAAGUGGACUAUUCUAUCGCAAACACGCACCACACAUCCUCACAUUCAUACAGGCUCUUUCUGCUGCAACAAGAACCUUGAUGCAAGGUCUGCAAUGCUAGAUUCGCCUACGAAGAGGCAAAUAUAGAGAAAGAGAGAAGAAACAACGGAGAGAAAGAGAGAGAAAGAGAGAGAGAAAGAGAGAAAAAAAAGGCAUGGAGCCGCCCAUGGUGUCGCCAACCCAAGUCAAGUGCAUUAUUUCUGAGCAAAGUAGCCACGCAGCCAGUCAGUUAGCCAAGUAGCUAGCUGGUAAUCAGCUGCUUUUGCUCAUGUAAGGAAGAGUGCAUGCACCCAACACGGCUCUAUAACCGGCAAAGUGUCUAUAGAUCCAUCUACCAGCAGAGGAGGUCUUUUGAGUCUACAGUUCCUUGAGGAGCAGGAGGCGGAGGAGGGUUAUGUAGGCCAACGGAUUUCUCAAAUCCAAGACAUCUCGUCGAGGGAAAAGAAAGUGCGAGCAAAACUGUGGAAUAAGCCAGAGCAAGGUGAGCUCACAACAACCCAUCUCGUUGAAUUCCAACAUACGCACCCCUGACUACGUAAACCCCGAUAUCCGAGCCCCAAUGGUCGCUUCUUCGUUGGAGUUCAUGAGUAAUGCACAAAAUUCCGAACGAAUACUUAUCCCGGCAUUUAAUGUCCACGGAAAUUCUAAGGAACUAUCAUCAGGCUUUCUUGAAACAAGGACCACCCACCUGGAUUGCAUGCAUGAUAAUCCAAGGCAAGUGCAAAAAUGCCCGGAUUCCGAGUCUCACCCCGGACGGGAGAAAUGGCCCCCUAAAUUUGUCCUGAGCUCAACGAAAUGUGAGAAAAUUGUGUUAGCUUAUGGCUCAGAAAGUUGCAUUUAGCUCCCAUGGAAUGCCAGGGCCAAUUGUCGUUGAAAUUUCUCCUGAAAUCUAUCAUCACAUCCUUCGCAAGAACGUCGAAACUCAGAUCUGACCUCUUUGGCCCCAUCAUGCCGAAGAAACUGACCUUAGGCAGCCCAAAAUGAAUGAAGUGAAGUCCGACCGAGUCGUUGACUCCAUCCAUGUACUGGAUUCAACAUCUCAGGCCGACAUAAUUAGCCGAUUUGUAAUCUCUAGUGAUCUACACACAAUGUGGUGUUCUUAAUUGGCCCAUUCCGCCAGUCGCCUCCUGGACUAUCCGAGAGCAUAGUAGACACUCCAUCAAUGUGUAGAAAUCAGACCGGGAUGCAAAAUUUCCAGACAAUCUCCAAACUGAUUCCCGACCCCUCUGAGGUCGGCCCAUCGGUUCUCUUGCAUCGCAGGCAGGCCAAAGUCGGACAAAUCCUUGAAGUUCAUAAAAUUUACCACCGAACCCCCGUAUUUGUGUCCCAAUGUGGACAUCAAAAUGAUUCGUAACUACUCAAGUAAGCAAGUAGUAUUUCAUCGCUCAAGGGAUUGACGUAAGUUCUCAUAAUGGCCUAGUACAUAUUUGCGCCUUCUCACGUGCGUUGGACACAAGUCGUAACAUUUGGAGUCGUGUAUAUAGUAAUACAAUAUUGCACACCCCGGCAAAGCCGAAAGUACGAAUUGCAUUUUCUUGAAAGCCAUCGCUGAGCUCUGUUCCCUAAAAGUUCCCUCUACAGGAUGCUUGACAAGCAUUGUCUACUUUUGUUAACAAUGCUUUUCAACCUGAAAAGCUAUUGCAAACAAAUUCUCAAAUUGCGUUCCACUCCGGAGAUGAGCUCUAUUUGUUUUAAAAGGCGACCGACAGUAAUACAAAAAUGUCAAGCCUUCUGAGUGUGCAUUCCCUCCAUUAGCUUUGAACUUUGUGUUGUUAACAGUUUCAGUCAUCAUAAGGGGGCGGUGACAUCGAAAUACUUAAGUGAGCAAUCAAUUCUUAGAACUUUGGAUGGGUCAACAUACAAACGUAAUCAAUCGAUGAAUCAAGAUCAAAUCAUUUCCGUUGAGUGCUGAGCUUGAUUUGUCACCUAUGGCUGAGAAGCCUCAAAGUCCAUAGAAGCCUCAGAGCCGAUUAGUUGACUGACUAAACUGAUUCUUCAGUUGACCGGGAACUUUGCUUGUCAUUUGUUCAGCUGUUUCUUUUUCUAAGUAAGUAUGGAAGGUACAAGAACUUUAAACCCAACGGAAAAGUAUGCACGAAUAUUUCAACAAUGAUGAGUCCCAAGCUAGAAAUUCGUUCGAAGUUAAGAGAGUCAUUAGGCUGGUCAAAUAUCCAAUGCAUUGAAUUGAUGAACCUGAUAGUUCGUGGAAAAAUGUCAUUAGUAAAUACCAGGUUGGAGUAAGGGAUCAAUGUUUUCGUUAUGAGAUCUUAGAAACAUGUUAUGUAUGAUUCAUACUACUGAAUACUAAUUCAUGAACUGAAUUAGCUCUUUUCCACCUUUGAGUUUCAGAUUUUUUUGCUCAAACGGGUCCUAGCAAUACAAUAGAUAUGGCUGGAACAUAGAUUUGCCACGUUCAGUCUGGUUGGGGGGACCAAGGACAUUUUAGAUGUUUCCAUGCAAUGCACGCACGCACACACACGCACACGUACCCCAGGAUUUUCGAAAUGAGUGGAAGUGCAGUUCUCUGCACUUGUGUUAACAGUCAUAGACGAUAAAAUUGUUGAAUCUGGCGUCGAAAGGAAAUCAGAAAAGAGACAAGUCAAGGGAUUACUCAGCAUACUGCCUACCCUUUUGCUCACUUCCAUUGUCGUAGCUUUUGAAAAUCAACUUUUCAAUGGCCAAGGAGGGUCUCCUCUACCGAAAGUCAAACCUUUUUUUGUAACGAAAUAACGAUUUCCCAGGUUUAAGUGUCGAUCUGUCUCGACUUAUUAGGCUAGAAUCACUGUCUUUGAUAACAUGUUAUCACAUAUAAAUAAUUUUAGCAUUCACGUACUUACCUUUAUUGAGAGUAUAAAUUUCGAGCUUGAGUAAAACCCGAGUGCUUCCAAUCUCUUGAAAGCCAUGCCAACGGGUUCCUUUUCGCUCAAAAUAACAAUCAGCAAGCGAUUCAACUGAAGAAUACUGCCAAUGGAUGCUGGCUGCAUUUAUUCAUCAUAAAAAUGUGCAAAUGUGUGUCAGUACAGGACUUAUCUCUGCCUCUCUCGCAGCUCUCGAAACAUUUAUCUUCUUCUCGUCAUGAAUGAUGAUGAUUUUGUUGGACAAUUUCCCUGGAAAAGCAAUGACGCCAGCCUUCAGCAAAUAAAUUCGCCUACAACACAAAAAAAGUUGUGACCAAGGAUCACAGACAUUCAUUCCAUUCAUCUAAGAAACUAGCUAGCUAGCUAGUUAGCUCUCUAGCCAGCAAGCAUAGGAUAGCAAAUGAAUGAAGGCCAGAUCCUUGAGCAACACAAUCUUGUCUCCUUGGCCGGAAGUGCCGGUCUUCUUGGCCCUCUUACAAUGUACGUUGUCCUUAGGAGAGAGUGCCAAUCUAAAGGUCAAGGAUUGCUAUUGAGGGAUCAACAACCCGCUCAACUGUCGUCACCCUAAUUUGGAACCACUCGACGAGGUCAAAAAGUCCAUUUCAACAAUUAAUCACCUCGUCUCACUUCAUAAACAAGGUUGACAAAUGAAGUGAUCUCUCGCGGCGAGUUCAACACGUCGACCCUCUUGGCAAUACUGAAUGAAGUAUGCAUUCAAUACAUUGGGCAAAACGUACUGUACAGAACUCGAACGAACUGGGGGGGAAGGAAGGGACAGACUGAAUGCUGACGAGAAUGUUUAGGCCAAUACAUAUGCCGAGACAUUGUCAGCGAGACCACAAAUCAAUCAAUAUUGAAUUCAUUUCCAAUACUGAGGUCGAGCCCUCGAUGCACUUUUGAGCUUCUGGCUUCGAUUAAUACAUAUAAACGGAAUGGUAAACAGUCAGUCAUCGCUCAUUCUGGCUCAUAGGACCUCGAGCCUCUACCGAUGUUGCAAAUUCAACUGCGGCGCCAACUAAUAACUCGGCGUGAAAUUCCCGAUCCCAGAUUAAGAUCAUACCCCAAUCUUUCGUGAUCACCAUCAUCUAACGACUCUAUUCAAAGCUAUUUGCUUCUAGCAGCACUGCGAGGGAGGAAAUCAAUGUUCUCAAUUCGUAUUGAUGUACCCUAAUUACGAAUAAAGUAGCACUUGAUCCAUUUCGGGGAGGGGCGGCAAUGGUGUCUUAUCAACACCCUUUAUCUUCCGGCCGAGACAGGAUCGAGCCAGGAUCGAGCCAGGAUCAAGUCAUGAAACCGGAGCUUCUUGCGAUUCGAGUCCAAAAGUGAUGAUGGCAAGUCGAUUCUCGAGUUGCAAAUAAUGAUAACGUUCUGCUUUGAGUGGCUCAUUACAUGAAUAUUUGCAAGAUUCACAGCUGAUAAAGAGAACGCGUGUUUCUCCUAUCUGUGAGCGUGUACAGUGUGCCAAAUGUUUCGCUACAUACAUACAUACAUACAUGCAUACAUGCAUGCAUGUAGAAACUGGUCACAACAUUGAUUCACGACUCCAAACUUAAAAUAGCGGAUGUGCACCAACAAAGAACAGGAACCAAAUUGAUGUUAACCAAAGAUGGCAGACAGAUUUGGUGUAGUAGAUUGAUCGGUGGGAUCUGUACUUUACACCAUCGUUUGGUUCUCUUCAACAGCUGCCUCUUGAAAUGGUCCAUUCAGCUAGGGCCUUUCCCGACCCCCCCCCCCUCUCCUGCCCUUUGACAGAAAGUUAGGACACCAUACAAGUGUGUCAAAAACCUACGAAAUAAGCGUGUGGUUGCACAAUUGGCUCAUUUUCAGGUUUAAUGUUUCGUUUUCCUCUCAUUCGAACGUGAAGAGGGGUCUUUGGCAAGACUAGAAGAGAUCGAUGAACACGUAUGUACGGUAAAACGAGGCAAACCGUGUUCUGUUUAUUGAGGUGGAAUCAUUAGAAGCCAGCAGGCUGUGUCUUGUGGGCGCCAGGGGUAUUCGUUACCAAAGAUUAGGCUGACCACAAAUGAUCAAAAAAAUCGCAUUGAUCCAUCAAUCCCACUAACAUUAGUUCAAACCAUAAACAGAUAGAUCGGGUCCACUAAACCAAUACGAAUAUCGAAUGCUUGGGAUCUUCCGUUUUCCUCCAAUCAAAAAAAAGACUUCCUCAGAUUUGGUUAGGGUUGGUCCUAUACAUCUGGUCAAUCUGUUGGAUUAAUUUUGGUUCAUGCUUUACGUUGGUUAAAGCUGGCCGAUAAUUUCUACUCUGUUCGGGUAUAGGGCCCAAAAGCAGUCAUUUUAAAGCCAGCUAGCUCUUCCUCUGUCUUCCCAUGUCAUUGAAAACAGGAUCUCUCAACAUUGCAAUGUUUCCCAGACAUAGGCAGAGCUGAACUUCUUGAUUACAAUUGCGAGCGACCCCCACUUGGUUAGUUUUCACCCUUAUGCUUUUCCGUUUGGCGGUGAUUAGUGAUUACCUCCGUGCUUUUUAUUAGCCCCACGUGGUGUCUUAGUGCCACGGUCUGCUUGUUCGGCUCUGUCUUUCCCCAGGCAGAUUACCUAUUCUGCCAUAGCUCAAGAACAUUAAAAUACACCUAAUGAACAACACAUGGCUAGCGAAAGAGGGAUUGUCAAGAUGGACCUGGUCGGAAAAAUGUAUGUACCACUAAAAACGAGAAUGGAAUGGCUAGGAGGAUGACUGGCGUAACCACUGGUACGGGCUAGUUACCCCUUCCCUUCUGUUCUCUUCUUUGCCUUUAAGCCCUGUCUGCAGAUCUUCAGAGUGGAUUUAAAGAGUUCAAGAACAUACUCUUUGGACAUUGCUCAAAAUCCGUGUCCGGUUAUGCGCGUAAAAGCAUUGCUAGAGACAACGAAGUGAUUAGAAUCAGGAUUUGCGAGUUUUUCCACCCGGGUUCUCGGCUUCGUCGCCUGACAUCGAUUCUCGCCUGUCAAGUGUACGUACCCUAUGCCGUCGUCGUGCGGGGCCAUGGAGAAGAAAAAUGGUCAGCAUUUAAUGCGGCGAUUCCCCGGAGCCUUGUAGUCAGUGAGAACAACAACGCAUCCUCGUCUUCGCUUUCUUGCGAGCAAGUGAAGGGUUUGAAACGUUCGAAUUUUCCCUCGUUUCUCCGUUUCUCAUUGUCACAUUCCGGGGCGAUCAGCUCAUUAAGUUGAAACUAGAGCGUGUUUGUGUACUUCAGCAAUUCCACUUCAACGUUGAUUGUCUUGGCUGCCGAUCGCAUGGGAUGAAGCCGAGGUAGCCGAUGUAGCUUAUUACAUGGGUUGCGUCAAGGGUGACCACAAGAAGAUCGUGGGUCCGAGCGUUAGUGAGGUUCAUCGAAGACCCAGAGCAGGAGGGGCAAAUAUAUUCCAUCCUGAUUUGGCCAAAGCACUGGGAAUGAGUGCGACAAUUAAGCAAGCAUUUUCACAACUUAGGCACCGGGUGCUGCUCGCUCUUAAAGAUCGGUAGUUCGUCUGCGGUUUCAGGUCCAGAAAAUGCGCCGUGCAUCAAUUCUCGGACGUAAGGUCAGGCACCUCGAGAAAAAAAAAACGAUACGAACGCGGGAAGAAGAAACGACAAGACAUUUUCGAAUGCUUUCAAGCCUCCCUUUGUUUUAUGGAGAAAUGGGAGGCAGAAGUAAGAGAAUGAAGACAUUCACCACGAGGCAGUUCUCAAACGCCCCCAAAAUGAUGUGAGAACGAACGAGAAAGAACAGCGAGCUCGGAAAACUUGGCACGCCGAUAAUGGAGCCAAAUGUCCGGGUCAAAAUGACGAAUUUCUUGACCUAUCCGGGCCUCUUUGUCUAUUGUUCCCCUCUUUUUCAAAUCCAACCCAUUUAGGACCCAGUACACUGACCCUUUACUUCAAGUGGGCAUAAAUUCACAAAAUUCACAGUCUGCCACUGGACAUUACUCUAGCCUUUCAUACUCCUUUUCUCACUCGUAUGCCAAGAAAUGAAUGCGAAACGAAAUCAGAAGAGAAGAGAGGAAUGCCAGUCAGCUCUGAUUCGAAUCUGGAUGCCAUGAUGUCCGGAUGGCGGCCGAACAGCUUCAACAACAAAUGAUGUCCAGUCGAUCCUCAGAAGACUCGCCGUGUGACUCAGCUGACUGAACAUGGACGGAUCGACGGAUCGACGGAUUGAUGCACACCAACCAGCCACAGCCGCAAUUUGCCGUGAAAAUAUGGUGUUCCAGGGGGAAAAUACUCGAAAACUUCGAAUAUGAGACUUUAAUUUGUUUUCAAAGCAGAGCUAUUUGAAAAAUCUCUCGUCUUGGGCCCAUAGCUCAAGACUCUGGAAGAAAACUAUUUUCUCCAUUGACAUAUUGGAUCUCUGAUCGAGAAUCUGGUUGUCACAACAAGGGCAAGUUUAAAUUUAACUUCGCUAUUCCAUGUUUGUUUUUGCUGUCAUGUGUUGGAGAAUGAAAAUAGAUUAAUUGCUGCGAA
This is a long non-coding RNA of Tigriopus californicus, 7592 nucleotides long. RefSeq lists it as uncharacterized. The transcript is spliced from 2 exons. The record is from RefSeq and is a predicted model, not a curated record. Lineage: Eukaryota; Metazoa; Arthropoda; Copepoda; Harpacticoida; Harpacticidae.